This 207-nucleotide ribosomal RNA is filed under the name uncultured bacterium. Its description in RNAcentral is "partial 16S ribosomal RNA". It matches the Rfam family "Bacterial small subunit ribosomal RNA", at positions 568 to 774 of the family's 1533-position model. The record is from RNAcentral.
CUCGUAGGCGGUUCGUCGCGUCCGGUGUGAAAGUCCAUCGCUUAACGGUGGAUCCGCGCCGGGUACGGGCGGGCUUGAGUGCGGUAGGGGAGACUGGAAUUCCCGGUGUAACGGUGGAAUGUGUAGAUAUCGGGAAGAACACCAAUGGCGAAGGCAGGUCUCUGGGCCGUUACUGACACUGAGGCACGAAAGCGUGGGGAGCAAACA